RNAcentral lists this ribosomal RNA (490 nucleotides) under uncultured bacterium. RNAcentral's name for it is "bacterial SSU rRNA". It matches the Rfam family "Bacterial small subunit ribosomal RNA", at positions 47 to 507 of the family's 1533-position model. The record is from RNAcentral.
CAUAAGACAUGCAAGUCGUAACGGAAGUCGUUUAGUGAGUUUGAGAUGAAAGAUUUAUCCGGAUUCAAUGAUGAAUCUAAAACAAUGGCUUUAGUGGCGGACUGGUGAGUAACACGUAAGCAACCUGCCUGUUAGAGGGGAAUAACAGCGAGAAAUCGUUGCUAAUACCGCAUAUGCCAUAAGAACCACAUGGUUCUAGUGGGAAAGGAGUAAUCCGCUAACAGAUGGGCUUGCGUCUGAUUAGAUAGUUGGUGGGGUAACGGCCUACCAAGUCGACGAUCAGUAGCCGGACUGAGAGGUUCAACGGCCACAUUGGGACUGAGAUACGGCCCAGACUCCUACGGGAGGCAGCAGUCGGGAAUAUUGCGCAAUGGAGGAAACUCUGACGCAGUGACGCCGCGUAUAGGAAGAAGGUUUUCGGAUUGUAAACUAUUGUCUGCAGGGAAGAAACAAGACUGUACCUGCAAAGAAAGCUCCGGCUAACUACGUG